Molecule: non-coding RNA, 29 nt
Filed under: Mus musculus (house mouse)
Lineage: Eukaryota; Metazoa; Chordata; Mammalia; Rodentia; Muridae
Source: RNAcentral
UUGAAGUGAAAAGCCACUUGGGUUAGCCU